Molecule: unclassified non-coding RNA, 216 nt
Filed under: Hevea brasiliensis (rubber tree)
Lineage: Eukaryota; Viridiplantae; Streptophyta; Magnoliopsida; Malpighiales; Euphorbiaceae
Source: RNAcentral
CCUCGCCAUCGUUCAUAAAGCUGAACAUGAAAAUUUCAUUACAAAAUGGGAUAGGGCCUAACCACUAUGUGCUUAAGGGGAUGUGCUACAUCACCACCACCAGCAUGCUGUGCUUCACAAAUUCAGCUGGUGAGAGAAAGCUUCCAUGGCAAACACACACUAUCCUCACCUCCUCGCCUUUCUUAUACCUAUAGAGAAAACCUUUGAUUCUUUUUC